RNAcentral lists this ribosomal RNA (2198 nucleotides) under human gut metagenome. RNAcentral describes it as "bacterial LSU rRNA". It matches the Rfam family "Bacterial large subunit ribosomal RNA", at positions 14 to 2223 of the family's 2925-position model. The record is from RNAcentral.
AGGGCGCACGGUGGAUGCCUUGGCACUAGGAGCCGAUGAAGGACGGGACUAACACCGAUAUGCUUUGGGGAGCUGUAAGUAAGCUAUGAUCCAGAGAUUUCCGAAUGGGGGAACCCAAUAUCUUUUAUAGGAUAUUACUUUUCAGUGAAUACAUAGCUGAUUAGAGGUAGACGCAGAGAACUGAAACAUCUUAGUACCUGCAGGAAGAGAAAGAAAAAUCGAUUCCCUGAGUAGCGGCGAGCGAAACGGGAAGAGCCCAAACCAACAAGCUUGCUUGUUGGGGUUGUAGGACUCCAAUAUGGUAGUCUGUUAGUAUAGUUGAAGGAUUUGGAAAAUUCCGCUAAAGAGGGUGAAAGCCCCGUAGACGAAAUGCUAACAACACCUAGGAGGAUCCUGAGUACGGCGGAACACGAGAAAUUCCGUCGGAAUCCGCGGGGACCAUCCCGCAAGGCUAAAUACUCCCUAGUGACCGAUAGUGAACCAGUACCGUGAGGGAAAGGUGAAAAGCACCCCGGAAGGGGAGUGAAAUAGAUCCUGAAACCGUGUGCCUACAACAAGUCAAAGCUCGUUAAUGAGUGAUGGCGUGCCUUUUGUAGAAUGAACCGGCGAGUUACGAUUGCAUGCGAGGUUAAGUCGAAGAGACGGAGCCGCAGCGAAAGCGAGUCUGAAUAGGGCGAAUGAGUAUGUAGUCGUAGACCCGAAACCAUGUGAUCUACCCAUGUCCAGGUUGAAGGUGCGGUAAAACGCACUGGAGGACCGAACCCACGUACGUUGAAAAGUGCGGGGAUGAGGUGUGGGUAGCGGAGAAAUUCCAAACGAACUUGGAGAUAGCUGGUUCUCUCCGAAAUAGCUUUAGGGCUAGCCUCGGAAUUGAGAAUGAUGGAGGUAGAGCACUGUUUGGACUAGGGGCCCAUCUCGGGUUACCGAAUUCAGAUAAACUCCGAAUGCCAUUCAUUUAUAUCCGGGAGUCAGACUGCGAGUGAUAAGAUCCGUAGUCGAAAGGGAAACAGCCCAGACCACCAGCUAAGGUCCCAAAAUAUAUGUUAAGUGGAAAAGGAUGUGGGGUUGCACAGACAACUAGGAUGUUGGCUUAGAAGCAGCCACCAUUUAAAGAGUGCGUAAUAGCUCACUAGUCGAGUGACCCUGCGCCGAAAAUGUACCGGGGCUAAACAUAUUACCGAAGCUGUGGACUACACCAUUAGGUGUAGUGGUAGGAGAGCGUUCUAAGGGCGUUGAAGGUCGAUCGUGAGGACGGCUGGAGCGCUUAGAAGUGAGAAUGCCGGUAUGAGUAGCGAAAGACAGGUGAGAAUCCUGUCCACCGUAUGACUAAGGUUUCCUGGGGAAGGCUCGUCCGCCCAGGGUUAGUCGGGACCUAAGCCGAGGCCGAUAGGCGUAGGCGAUGGACAACAGGUUGAUAUUCCUGUACCAGUUGUUUUUGUUUGAACAAUGGAGGGACGCAGUAGGCUAAGGAAUGCAUGCGAUUGGAAGUGCAUGUCCAAGCAAUGAGUCUUGAGUAGAGUUAAAUGCUUUACUCUUUAAGGACAAGUUGUGACGGGGAGCGAAAUAAUAGUAGCGAAGUUCCUGAUGUCACACUGCCAAGAAAAGCUUCUAGUGAGAAAACAACUGCCCGUACCGUAAACCGACACAGGUAGUCGAGGAGAGUAUCCUAAGGUGAGCGAGCGAACUCUCGUUAAGGAACUCGGCAAAAUGACCCCGUAACUUCGGGAGAAGGGGUGCUGACUUCGGUCAGCCGCAGUGAAUAGGCCCAAGCGACUGUUUAUCAAAAACACAGGUCUCUGCAAAAUCGUAAGAUGAAGUAUAGGGGCUGACGCCUGCCCGGUGCUGGAAGGUUAAGAGGAUGGGUUAGCUUCGGCGAAGCUCAGAAUUGAAGCCCCAGUAAACGGCGGCCGUAACUAUAACGGUCCUAAGGUAGCGAAAUUCCUUGUCGGGUAAGUUCCGACCCGCACGAAAGGCGUAACGAUUUGGGCACUGUCUCAACGAGAGACUCGGUGAAAUUUUAGUACCUGUGAAGAUGCAGGUUACCCGCGACAGGACGGAAAGACCCCAUGGAGCUUUACUGUAGCUUGAUAUUGAAUGUUUGUGCUGCUUGUACAGAAUAGGUAGGAGACGUUGAAGAUUGGACGCUAGUCUAGUCGGAGUCGAAAUGUGGGAUACUACCCUCGUUGUAUGAACAUUCU